ACGAGACCCCUGCCUGCUAAAUAGUUGAGCGAAUGAAUGUUCAUUGGCUACAGCUUCUUAGAGGGACGUGCGUUCUAUUAGACGCAGGAAGAUAGGGGCAAUAACAGGUCUGUGAUGCCCUUAGAUGUCCUGGGCCGCACGCGCGUUACACUGAUGCACUCAACGAGUCUACCUUGGCCGAGAGGCCUGGGAAAUCUUGUUAAUUUGCAUCGUGAUAGGGAUAGAUUAUUGCAAUUAUUAAUCUUGAACGAGGAAUUCCUAGUAAACGCAGAUCAUCAAUCUGCAUUGAUUACGUCCCUGCCCUUUGUACACACCGCCCGUCGCACCUACCGAUUGAAUGGUCCGGUGAAGCCUC
This 355-nucleotide ribosomal RNA is filed under the name uncultured eukaryote. RNAcentral's name for it is "SSU rRNA". It matches the Rfam family "Eukaryotic small subunit ribosomal RNA", at positions 1335 to 1710 of the family's 1831-position model. The record is from RNAcentral.